Long non-coding RNA from Olea europaea var. sylvestris, 921 nucleotides. RefSeq lists it as uncharacterized. Lineage: Eukaryota; Viridiplantae; Streptophyta; Magnoliopsida; Lamiales; Oleaceae. The transcript is spliced from 3 exons. The record is from RefSeq and is a predicted model, not a curated record.
CAUUUCAAAGAAUUCCUGACGAUCGGACGAUGCAAAGAGAUGUGCAUCAAACAUGGACGCUCAAAAUUCGAUCCAAAGCCAACAACUUCCAUUUCCAUUUCAAUCACAAUUCAUCACAAACUAUUCGCAAGUUUUUCGAAUUUUCAAUCGAGCUUAAGCUCCGCCCAUUUCUUUUCAAAUUAAAAUGCGAACCCAGAUCAUCAUUUUCCUGGAAAAGAAGAUCUUUCAAGACUAGAUCACUUCAAUUUUUGCAGAAUCUUGGCAUUCCGAUUGCAAAAAACAAAGGCAUUGUAGCCAGAAGGAGAUCUCGUAUCACGACCCUAAAAUGGUGUGCUCGUAAGGGAUCAAUUUGUGAGAGUUCAUUGAUACUGAUUGGAAGCCUUGCUCAUUUGUAUCUAUCAAUCUCCAAGAAUGGUGAAGAUCCAAUAUUCUUACUUGGUUCAUUUAUCUGUUUAUACUUUGCUUUCUUGCUGAAGAAUUAUUGGAGAAGAAAAAUAAGUUGUAAUUCAUUGGGAGUAGUGGUUUUUGCAACAUUGGGUUGUUGGGCAAUUUCGCAUCUGAGUAACCAUUUCUAUGGGAGCAGCUACUAUAUUUCCAGAUUUAUAUGGAGGGCUUGGAAUUAGGCUGCCUAUGUUUUUAUGAUUUAUUUCCCAGGUAAUUUUUACUGCAGUUUCACUGGGGUCGAGAGAUAGAGGUGAUCUUCAAUCGAAAAACAUUGAUUUGUAAGAUUCUUUAAGCGUUGUUUUAGCUUAUGCAUGACCCAAUAAGGUGUUAAUAAACUUAACUUCGUGACUCGAGUCUUGUUUUAUUAUAUAAGAAUUCCAGAAUUUUAUGCAACUGAAAAUUUGAGAUUGUAGCAAUUUUGGAAGCCUUUUUCUUACUUAUUUUAAAAUUUUAUUUCUAAAAUUGUAUGUUCAGAUU